UCCUGGCUCAGGAUGAACGCUGGCGGUAUGCUUAACACAUGCAAGUCGAACGGUGUCUUCGGACACAGUGGCGGACGGGUGAGUAACGCGUGAGAAUCUGCCUCUAGGUUGGGGACAACAGUUGGAAACGACUGCUAUACCCAAUGUACCGUAAGGUGAAAGAUUUAUUGCCUGGAGAGGAGCUCGCGUCCGAUUAGCUAGUUGGUGAGGUAAAGGCUUACCAAGGCAUCGAUCAGUAGCUGGUCUGAGAGGAUGAGCAGCCACACUGGGACCGAGACACGGCCCAGACUCCUACGGGAGGCAGCAGUGGGGAAUUUUCCGCAAUGGGCGAAAGCCUGACGGAGCAAUACCGCGUGAGGGAGGAAGGCCUUUGGGUUGUAAACCUCUUUUCUCAGGGAAGAAGAUCUGACGGUACCUGAGGAAUAAGCAUCGGCUAACUCCGUGCCAGCAGCCGCGGUAAUACGGAGGAUGCAAGCGUUAUCCGGAAUCAUUGGGCGUAAAGCGUCCGCAGGUGGUUUUUCAAGUCUGCUGUUAAAGACUGGAGCUCAACUCCGGAAAGGCAGUGGAAACUGAGAAACUAGAGUUCGGUAGGGGUAGCGGGAAUUCCCAGUGUAGCGGUGAAAUGCGUAGAUAUUGGGAAGAACAUCGGUGGCGAAGGCGCGCUACUGGACCGAGACUGACACUCAGGGACGAAAGCUAGGGUAGCGAAAGGGAUUAGAUACCCCUGUAGUCCUAGCUGUAAACGAUGGAAACUAGGUGUGGCUUGUAUCGACCCGAGCCGUGCCGUAGCUAACGCGUUAAGUUUCCCGCCUGGGGAGUACGCACGCAAGUGUGAAACUCAAAGGAAUUGACGGGGGCCCGCACAAGCGGUGGAGUAUGUGGUUUAAUUCGAUGCAACGCGAAGAACCUUACCAGGGCUUGACAUGUCGCGAAUCUUGGUGAAAGCUGAGAGUGCCUUCGGGAGCGCGAACACAGGUGGUGCAUGGCUGUCGUCAGCUCGUGUCGUGAGAUGUUGGGUUAAGUCCCGCAACGAGCGCAACCCUCGUCUUUAGUUGCCAGCAUUAAGUUGGGCACUUUAGAGAGACUGCCGGUGACAAACCGGAGGAAGGUGGGGAUGACGUCAAGUCAGCAUGCCCCUUGCGCCCUGGGCUACACACGUACUACAAUGGUUGGGACAAAGGGCAGCAAACCCGCGAGGGUAAGCGAAUCUCAUCAAACCCAGCCUCAGUUCAGAUUGCAGGCUGCAACUCGCCUGCAUGAAGGAGGAAUCGCUAGUAAUCGCAGGUCAGCAUACUGCGGUGAAUUCGUUCCCGGGCCUUGUACACACCGCCCGUCACACCAUGGAAGCUGGUCACGCCCGAAGUAGUUACCCUAACCUUUCGGGGGGGGGGACUCCUAAGGCAGGGCUAGUGACUGGGGUGAAGUCGUAACAAGGUA
Molecule: ribosomal RNA, 1437 nt
Filed under: metagenome
Description: bacterial SSU rRNA
Rfam family: Bacterial small subunit ribosomal RNA
Source: RNAcentral